This 613-nucleotide long non-coding RNA is filed under the name Mytilus galloprovincialis (Mediterranean mussel). The record is from RNAcentral. Lineage: Eukaryota; Metazoa; Mollusca; Bivalvia; Mytilida; Mytilidae.
AAAAAUAGUUUCCGUCAUGAAACUUAAAACAAAAAACAGUGUUUUCAUUAAAAUAAUAUGAUACAAAUUUCUAAAGAUUCCAUUUCAUGUGGGAUUAUAUAAAACAACUCGGAAGAAACAUUUGCAUCAUGAAAUAAUCGAAUCUCCGGCACAGAGUUCAGGGAAAACGGUACUAUUUAUUCUGCCAUAGGCGACAAUACUAACAUUUUCUAAAUUUACCAGUUUUUAUAAUAAAAACCUGGAUAAAACAGUUAUGUGUGGUGUUAGUACUUUAUUACUGUAUUCUAAAAAUUGAAGCCAAAUAGUGUCAUGACCAAUUUCCAACGGAGCUUGUUUAUGUUAUCCAUGCCCACCGUCAUUUUGCACCAAAUUUAUGAAAUUUUGCAAGCCUUUUCGAAUAAUUUUCUAGAAAAUAUUUCAAUAGGUUUUAAAAUUUAUAUUGUAAAUUUACACACUGCAGUUAUUCAUAGAUAAAUGAAAAAUAUAUUGUACCCUUACAUCCAAUCACAGCGCUCCUAAGUUGACUUCCUUCUCCUGUCUUGGGUACACAAAAGGCCAACCUAAUGCUGGGAAAAUGUAAUACUACCGUUUUCCCUAUACUGUGACACAAAGC